AAAAACAUCGCCUUCUGAUCCAUUAUAGAAGGUCUAGCCUGCCCAGUGAUAAACUUAAACGGCCGCGGUAUCUUGACCGUGCAAAGGUAGCAUAAUCACUUGUCCCUUAAAUAGAGACUAGUAUGAACGGCAUUACGAGGGUUGCACUGUCUCCCCUAUUUAAUCAGUGAAAUUAAUCUCCCCGUGAAGAAGCGGGGAUAUACCCAUAAGACGAGAAGACCCCAUGGAGCUUAAAACUAACAUUACUUGCACUAUUUUAUAUCACCUAAAACCAGCAAACUAUAUACUAGUUUUUGGUUGGGGCAACCGAGGAGUAAAACUAAAUCUCCAUGAUGAAAGAAAUUUAAUUCUAAUCAAAGAGCCACCACUCACAGAAUCACCAUACUGACUAAAUGACCCAAUAAAAUUGAACAACGAACCAAGUUACCCUGGGGAUAACAGCGCAAUCCAUUUUAAGAGCUCCUAUCGACAAAUGGGUUUACGACCUCGAUGUUGGAUCAGGGUACCCCAGCGGUGCAGCCACUACUAAAGGUUCGUUUGUUCAACGAUUAAAACCCUACGUGAUCUGAG
Molecule: ribosomal RNA, 570 nt
Filed under: Xenorhina sp. 3137
Lineage: Eukaryota; Metazoa; Chordata; Amphibia; Anura; Microhylidae
Description: partial 16S ribosomal RNA
Rfam family: Bacterial large subunit ribosomal RNA
Source: RNAcentral